AAGAUAAGUGCCUCUCAGAUUAGCCUCAGACAACGCCUAAAAUCCCAAUUUUAGGAUCAUAUAAUAUAAACUUUAAUUUUAGUAACUAAAGUUUAAUUAAUUAAUGACCCUUCAUAAAAAGGGUUUUAGGCAAGUCAUCCUUGGCUAUCAGAGCAGGCACUUUAUCU
RNAcentral lists this microRNA precursor (167 nucleotides) under Solanum commersonii (Commerson's wild potato). RNAcentral also lists the same sequence under 1 other name. Lineage: Eukaryota; Viridiplantae; Streptophyta; Magnoliopsida; Solanales; Solanaceae. The record is from RNAcentral.